This 484-nucleotide ribosomal RNA is filed under the name uncultured bacterium. Its description in RNAcentral is "partial 16S ribosomal RNA". It matches the Rfam family "Bacterial small subunit ribosomal RNA", at positions 30 to 507 of the family's 1533-position model. The record is from RNAcentral.
AUUGAACGCUGGCGGCAGGCCUAACACAUGCAAGUCGAGCGGAUGAAGGGAGCUUGCUCCUGGAUUCAGCGGCGGACGGGUGAGUAAUGCCUAGGAAUCUGCCUGGUAGUGGGGGAUAACGUCCGGAAACGGGCGCUAAUACCGCAUACGUCCUGAGGGAGAAAGUGGGGGAUCUUCGGACCUCACGCUAUCAGAUGAGCCUAGGUCGGAUUAGCUAGUUGGUGGGGUAAAGGCCUACCAAGGCGACGAUCCGUAACUGGUCUGAGAGGAUGAUCAGUCACACUGGAACUGAGACACGGUCCAGACUCCUACGGGAGGCAGCAGUGGGGAAUAUUGGACGAUGGGCGAAAGCCUGAUCCAGCCAUGCCGCGUGUGUGAAGAAGGUCUUCGGAUUGUAAAGCACUUUAAGUUGGGAGGAAGGGCAGUAAGUUAAUACCUUGCUGUGUUGACGUUACCAACAGAAUAAGCACCGGCUAACUUCGUG